This 1124-nucleotide long non-coding RNA is filed under the name Mytilus galloprovincialis (Mediterranean mussel). The record is from RNAcentral. Lineage: Eukaryota; Metazoa; Mollusca; Bivalvia; Mytilida; Mytilidae.
GUUUUUAUACGACCGCAAAUUUUGAAAAAAAUUUCGUCGUAUAUUGCUAUCACGUUGGCGUCGUCGUCGUCGUCCGAAUACUUUUAGUUUUCGCACUCUAACUUUAGUAAAAAGGCAUAGAAAUCUAUGAAAUUUUAACACAAGGUUUAUGACCAUAAAAGGAAGGUUGGUAUUGAUUAUGGGAGUUUUGGUCCCAACAUUUUAGGAAUUAGGGGCCAAAAAGGGCCCAAAUAAGCAUUUUCUUGGUUUUUGCACUAUAACUUUAGUUUACCCCGGUAAGUUAAUAGAAAUCUAUGAAAUUUUGACACAAGGUUUAUGACCACAAAAGAAAGGUUGGGAUUGAUUUUGGGAGUUUUGGUUUCAACAGUUUAGGAAUUAGGGGCCAAAAAAGGGCCCAAAUAAGCAUUAUUCUUGGUUUUUGCACAAUAACUUUAGUUUAAGUAAAUAGAAAUCAAUGAAAUUUAAACACAAUGUUUAUGACCACAAAAGGAAGGUUGGUAUUGAUUUUGGGAGUUAAGGUCCCAACAGUUUAGGAAUUAGGGGCCAAAAAGGGACCCAAAUAUGCAUUUAUCUUGGUUUUCGCACCAUAACGUUAGUAUAAGUAAAUAGAAAUCUAUGAAAUUUAAACACAAGGUUUAUGACCAUAAAAGGAAGGUUGGUAUUGUUAGCUCACCUGGCUUAAAAGGCCAUGUGAGCUUUUCUCAUCACUUGACGUCCGUCGUCGUCGUCUGUCGUCGUUAACAAUUUUUCAAACAUCUUCUCCUCUGAAACUACUGAAUGGAUUUGAAUGAAACUUAGCAUGAUUGUUCCUUAGAGUAUCCUGCACAAAGUGUGUGCUUCGAUUUUUGAUCCGUCAAAAAACAUGGCCGCCGUUACUUAAAAUAGAACAUAGGGGUCAAAUGCAGUUUUUGGCUUAUAUCUCAAAAACGAAAACAUUUAGAGCAAAUCUGACGUGGGGUAAAAAUGUUCAUUAGGUCAAGAUCUAUCAGCCCUGAAAUUUUCAGAUGAAUCAAACAAUACAUUGUUGGGUUGCUGCCACUUAAUUGGUAAUUUUAAGGAAAUUUUGCAGUUUUUGGUCAUUAUCUUGAAUAUUAUUAUAGAUAAAGAUAAACUGUAAACAGCAA